UCUAUUUUUCAUGAUUUCUCCACUGUUCUCUUGCUGAGAUGUUUGUACUGUUUCUUGCUUUUAGAAACCAGUGCUAAAAAAAAAAAAAAAAAAAAAAAAAAAGAGGUCUUGUGAUAUAUAACCACAAGAACUUGGCAAUAUUUCAUUUUUCCUUCAAAAUUAGCUUUUCAUAUACAGGUUUUCUCGGAUUUCUUUUCCUUGAGGAAGGACUCUGGAGCUUUGUUUUUGCCGGGCAUAAUAGAAGAUAAAAGAAGAGAGAAACACUGGGCCACUGCUGUGACUGGGGAACUUAGUCCUUCCCUUGGUCUAUCAAGUGAGUCAGUGAUGGAUGGAUGGAUGAAGGAGCUUACUCUUGUGACCAGAUGGAGGCAGGUUGGUGCUGGGGUGUGUUAUCUUGAAUGGUCUCCUAUGUGAAGACCCAGGGAACAUAACUGGAGGGGAGCACUCAGAAAAGAGAAGCUGCAUUGGAGAACUGGCCUGGCCAAAACACCAAGGACUUGUUCAUAGCCUAAAAAAGGGAGAGGAGGAGUCUGGUUUUGGAGGUGUCACUCUUUGUGGAAAACAGACUUAGAUAACCGGAUCUUUCAAGACAUUCCCCCCUGAAAGGAGGAAUUGUUAUUUGAGCAACGCCUAGAGUUGUCAGUUUCCUGUGGGUGAAAAACGAUAAACAGACUCUCAAGGGAUGCAUCUUGGCAGAGCUAGAAAGGUGCACUUUCCAUAUUGCCAAUCUCCAAGUGAAUUGCUCUAUCAGGGCUUGGUGGAUCUUGGGAGGAGUACAGAUGUGGCAAUUUCAGUUCGAUGAAGCCAAAGGACCCUACUCUGUUGAUGAAAUAUUACUCCUUUUCUUCUUGGCAUCUCUCCGGUCAUUUUCAUCGUGACUUGUACUCAAAGCAGGGAUGUUUCUGUGCCUGGAUGGGACUGGUGGCUAUUAUAGACAGAAGCUGUCGCCUGUAUAGAUACAGAUGUGCACAAUGCAGGCGCUGAACGUGAGUGCUCAGGAUUCAGGCACUGACACCAGUUGGGAGUUGGAGCUGCCAAAAGAGUUUCAGAUUUGAGCAGCUGGAAGGGGCCAGUCAAAAAGUCACUGCUGUCAACUGCCCAUGGAAAAAUGCCUGCUCCCAUCAGAGCAUCCCUGCCGCUGCUGGUCAUAGCCAGCUGACACCAAAGACGCCGUCUCUGAAAAGGGUAAAAAUAUUGCACAGGGCUCUGGGGAAUCUCGUCACUCUCCUGACAUGCUAUCUUUGAGUCCCGCAUUAAAAAAAAGUGGUAGAGAGAAAAAUCUGCGGAGUCACUGUUUGUGUGGUACGUUUUUUGUUGAUGGAUGGGUUUGGUUACUUGGGCUAUUAAUCUAGUAUUUUUUUAGGAAAAUAAAAUUAAUUUGGGGGUGAUGUGGGGCAUAAACUACAUAAAUAAAAUGAGUAUAAUUGGAUAUUGCUCUGGUUACACUGAUUCAAAGGCAGUA
This is a long non-coding RNA of Oxyura jamaicensis (ruddy duck), 1462 nucleotides long. RefSeq lists it as uncharacterized. The transcript has 6 exons. The record is from RefSeq and is a predicted model, not a curated record. NCBI's taxonomy places the organism in Eukaryota, Metazoa, Chordata, Aves, Anseriformes, Anatidae.